GACGAACGCUGGCGGCGUGCUUAACACAUGCAAGUCGAACGGAAAGGCCCUGCUUUUGUGGGGUGCUCGAGUGGCGAACGGGUGAGUAACACGUGAGUAACCUGCCCUUGACUUUGGGAUAACUUCAGGAAACUGGGGCUAAUACCGGAUAGGAGCUCCUGCUGCAUGGUGGGGGUUGGAAAGUUUCGGCGGUUGGGGAUGGACUCGCGGCUUAUCAGCUUGUUGGUGGGGUAGUGGCUUACCAAGGCUUUGACGGGUAGCCGGCCUGAGAGGGUGACCGGCCACAUUGGGACUGAGAUACGGCCCAGACUCCUACGGGAGGCAGCAGUGGGGAAUAUUGCACAAUGGGCGGAAGCCUGAUGCAGCAACGCCGCGUGCGGGAUGACGGCCUUCGGGUUGUAAACCGCUUUCGCCUGUGACGAGGCGUGAGUGACGGUAAUGGGUAAAGAAGCACCGGCUAACUACGUGCCAGCAGCCGCGGUGAUACGUAGGGUGCGAGCGUUGUCCGGAUUUAUUGGGCGUAAAGGGCUCGUAGGUGGUUGAUCGCGUCGGAAGUGUAAUCUUGGGGCUUAACCCUGAGCGUGCUUUCGAUACGGGUUGACUUGAGGAAGGUAGGGGAGAAUGGAAUUCCUGGUGGAGCGGUGGAAUGCGCAGAUAUCAGGAGGAACACCAGUGGCGAAGGCGGUUCUCUGGGCCUUUCCUGACGCUGAGGAGCGAAAGCGUGGGGAGCGAACAGGCUUAGAUACCCUGGUAGUCCACGCUGUAAACGGUGGGUACUAGGUGUGGGGUCCAUUCCACGGGUUCCGUGCCGUAGCUAACGCUUUAAGUACCCCGCCUGGGGAGUACGGCCGCAAGGCUAAAACUCAAAGGAAUUGACGGGGCCCCGCACAAGCGGCGGAGCAUGCGGAUUAAUUCGAUGCAACGCGUAGAACCUUACCUGGGUUUGACAUGGAUCGGGAGUGCUCAGAGAUGGGUGUGCCUCUUUUGGGGUCGGUUCACAGGUGGUGCAUGCCUGUCGUCAGCUCGUGUCGUGAGAUGUUGGGUUAAGUCCCGCAACGAGCGCAACCCUUGUUCACUGUUGCCAGCACGUUAUGGUGGGGACUCAGUGGAGACCGCCGGGGUCAACUCGGAGGAAGGUGGGGAUGACGUCAAGUCAUCAUGCCCCUUAUGUCCAGGGCUUCACGCAUGCUACAAUGGCUGGUACAGAGAGUGGCGAGCCUGUGAGGGUGAGCGAAUCUCGGAAAGCCGGUCUCAGUUCGGAUUGGGGUCUGCAACUCGACCUCAUGAAGUCGGAGUCGCUAGUAAUCGCAGAUCAGCAACGCUGCGGUGAAUACGUUCCCGGGGCU
This 1346-nucleotide ribosomal RNA is filed under the name uncultured bacterium. Its description in RNAcentral is "partial 16S ribosomal RNA". It matches the Rfam family "Bacterial small subunit ribosomal RNA", at positions 28 to 1381 of the family's 1533-position model. The record is from RNAcentral.